RNAcentral lists this ribosomal RNA (584 nucleotides) under Apiotrichum loubieri. Its description in RNAcentral is "partial large subunit ribosomal RNA". It matches the Rfam family "Eukaryotic large subunit ribosomal RNA", at positions 82 to 659 of the family's 3401-position model. The record is from RNAcentral. Lineage: Eukaryota; Fungi; Basidiomycota; Tremellomycetes; Trichosporonales; Trichosporonaceae.
AGUACGGCGAGUGAACCGGGAAGAGCUCAAAUUUGAAAUCUGGCUGUCUUCGAUAGUCCGAGUUGUAAUCUAUAGAAGCGUUUUCCGUGCUGAACUGUGUCUAAGUCCCUUGGAACAGGGUAUCAAAGAGGGUGACAAUCCCGUACUUGACACAAUCAUCAGUGCUCUGUGAUACGCUCUCUACGAGUCGAGUUGUUUGGGAAUGCAGCUCAAAAUGGGUGGUAAAUUCCAUCUAAAGCUAAAUAUUGGCGAGAGACCGAUAGCGAACAAGUACCGUGAGGGAAAGAUGAAAAGCACUUUGGAAAGAGAGUUAAACAGUACGUGAAAUUGUUGAAAGGGAAACGAUUGAAGUCAGUCGUGUUCAUUGGAUUCAGCCGGUCUUCGGUGUACUUCCUUUGAACGGGUCAACAUCAGUUUUGCCCGGUGGAUAAAGGCAGUAGGAAUGUGGCCUCUCCGGAGGUGUUAUAGCCUAUUGUCACAUACACUGGGGGAGACUGAGGACUGCAGCUCGCCUUUUGGCCGGGGUUCGCCCACGUUCGAGCUUAGGAUGUUGACAUAAUGGCUUUAAACGACCCGUCUUGAAA